RNAcentral lists this ribosomal RNA (226 nucleotides) under uncultured bacterium. Its description in RNAcentral is "partial 16S ribosomal RNA". It matches the Rfam family "Bacterial small subunit ribosomal RNA", at positions 538 to 763 of the family's 1533-position model. The record is from RNAcentral.
GCGUUGCUCGGAAUCACUGGGCGUAAAGGGUGCGUAGGCGGGUCUUUAAGUCAGGGGUGAAAUCCUGGAGCUCAACUCCAGAACUGCCUUUGAUACUGAGGAUCUUGAGUUCGGGAGAGGUGAGUGGAACUGCGAGUGUAGAGGUGAAAUUCGUAGAUAUUCGCAAGAACACCAGUGGCGAAGGCGGCUCACUGGCCCGAUACUGACGCUGAGGCACGAAAGCGUG